Molecule: long non-coding RNA, 14196 nt
Filed under: Homo sapiens (human)
Lineage: Eukaryota; Metazoa; Chordata; Mammalia; Primates; Hominidae
Description: non-protein coding TMEM161B-AS1:65
Source: RNAcentral
ACAGGUACGUGGGCGGGCGGAUCGUGGUGGCUGCGCUUGCGAGGACCCUGAGGUAGAUUGGGUGGUUUCAACAGGAACGCAUCCACUGUCUGAGAGUUUAAACUUGAUUUUGUGAGGGGACGAACAGCGUGACAAUUAAAAGAAGAUCUGGGAAUCGUAAGUACUGACAGAAUACCUGGAGGGAAGGUGGGACUGGAGAAUAGUUUGUGAAACAGAUCCUGCUGAGGAUGAAUCCAGAACUUCCUGAAGGGUUCCGCUUCUGCUGUGUAGGGACAAGGUUGUAAAUAGACAAGCCACAGGCACCUGCAAAUGGUAAGUGUGGUAGAGAGGGGCUGGAAUUGCCUGUUGGUGUAUCUGUGGGAAGCAGCUGCUAUCCUUGAGGAAGAAAAGAUGGAGAAGGUAAGUGGCUAUCAACCUGUCAGAGACAACACAUUCUGUGAAGUUGUACUCUUUCAUUUCUGACACUGUGGUUCUUAAUAUCUGUCCUAAACCUGGCAGUCAUUGAGGUUCGCAAAGUAUCUCCUUCUAUGUGACAGUAAAACUGGAAUUACUAUCAGAAUGGAAUCCAUUCCUGCUAGAGUAAAACCAUGAAAAGAAAUCGCAGUUUUGAUUAUCUGCUUAUCAUUUUUAAUAGAUCACAGAGUGCAGUGUUCCUUAUUUGUUGUAUGGCAAGUUGAUGAAUAACUCUUGAUUAAUAUCUUUUAAUGUUCUGUUUCACACAGUUCUCUCAAUUACAUGUGAAAAAUCUGUUAUAUAAGUAAUGCUAUUUAAUGAUUAAAAUGGAUAUAUGUUUUAAGGUAGUGCCACCCAGUCUUUUUUUUUUGGUAGAAUAAUAUUAUUAUCUAUUGGUUGCCUGCCUUGAAGUACAGUAAUUUCUCUGUUUCCAUUAUUUAAAAUAGGUGAGUGUCUUUGACAAAGAUACAAAGAAAGGGGACAGUUAUGAAAGGGAAGAAAAGAUAGAUGGAGAUGAAAAGAAAUUCAGUAGUUUCAGCAAGGGAAUUAGGAGCAUAAUCUUUGAGAAAAGUCUUGGUUGCUUACCAUUCGGGCUUUGUGAUGAGUUGAAAUGUCCUGAAUGAGAACUGUUCUCAAAUGCUUUCAAGACCAACAAAAAGUACGAUACCCACACUGACCUGGAACUCUUUAAACCAUUAAGAUAUAUCACUUUUUCGCAGUUCAGUCCAUAUUUUUUGCAAAAUGUUCUGCUUAGUUUUUCUGCUAAGAAAUUACUGUUUCUGAACAAGGUUAAGUGUCGUAUGCUUUCAUUGUAGUUUUUUUUCCCCUAACAUAUACUGUUUUCCUAAUUAGACUAUAAAUUCCUCCACAGCUGGGACCUUGUUUUGUUUUCUCGCCUUCCCCAUAACAAAUAUCAUUUAAGUGAAUGUUGUAAACAGUUACUUCAUUUAAAUUGCCCUUAAAAUGCUUUAUGACAAAGACGUUAUUUGUAGUAAUACCUAUAAUGGUAAAAAGUUUGUUGCAGUCUUACAGACGAUAAGAUUGAUCAAUUGUUAUAUAUGCUUAGUGGAAUUUUAUCUAGCUGUUCUAAAGAGCCAUUAGACUAGUCUUUCUAAUGGAAAAUGUUUAUUGUCUAAGUUAAAACAGCAUUUGAGGCCAGGCACAGUGGCUCACUCCUGUUAUUGCAGCACUAUGGGAGGCUGAGGUGGGAGGAUCACUAGAGCACAAGAGUUGGAGACUAGCCUAGGCAAUAUAGUGAGACCUCUUCUCUACAAAAAAUUUAAAAAUUAGCUGAGUGUGAUGGGGUGUGCCCGUAGUUCCAGCUACUCAGGAGACUGAGGUGGGAGGAUCACUUGGGUCCAAGAGGUAGAUGUUGCAGUAAACCAAGAUCAUGCCACUGCACUGCAGCCUGGGCAACAGAGCAAGAUCCUGUCUCAAAAAAUUAAAAAGCAUUUUAUAGACUGCAUGUUUGUGUCCCCCCUCCCUCCGCACCAGAAUUCAUAUAUUGAAGCCUUAAUCUCCAAUGACAUGAUAUUAGUAGGUGGGGCCUUUGGGGGGUGAUUAAAUAAUAAGGGUGAAGCCCUGCAUGGGAUUAGUGCCUUUACAACAAGAGACCCUAGACAGCUUGCUUCCACUCUUUCUUUGCUCUUCACCAUGUGAGGACACAGCAAGAAAACAGACAACUACAAAUCAGGAAGAGGGCCUAAUUUGUGCCAACCAUGCUGGCACUCUUCUCUAACUUCCCAGCCUCCAGAACUGUGAGAAAUAAAUUUCUGUUGUUUAAGUCACCCAGUUUAUGGUAGUUUGGUUAUAGUUGCCCAUAUUAAGACAGCAGGAUGCAAAAUUGUGGCCAGUAUGAUUGCUUUGACAUGAAACAAAUUUUAAGCACAAAUUGCAAAAAGUAACCAAAAUAUAUCAAUCCCCACUGCUGGCAUUAACACUCUAAAACAAACUUUGUAUAUUGGGGGAUUUUAUUUAUUUAUUUAUUUAUUUUUUUUGCUGACCAUAGUGACUCAUGCCUAUAAUCCCAGCACUUUGGGAGGCCGAGUUGGGCAGAUCACUUGAGGCCAGGAAUUCAAGACCAGCCUGGCCAACAUGGCAAAACCCCCUCUUUACAAAAAUAUAAAAAUUAACCAGGCAUGGUGGCACACCCCUGUAGCCCCACCUACUUGGGAGGCUGAGGUGGGAGGAUCGCUUGGGCCUGUGAAGCAGAGGUUGCGGAGAGCUGUGAUGGCACCACUGCACUCCAGCCUGUGUGACAGAGCGAGACUAUCUCAAGAAAAAAAAAAAAGGAUGAGGAUUUUUUUUGUUUUCAACAUGCUUUUUAACAUCCACUAUAUUACUCUCAUCUUUCUAGGCUGGAAAAAAAAAUGUUUUAAAUGUUAUUCUGAAGUAUAUUGCAACCUUUAACAAUUCAGUAGACUUCUGAAUUUUUAUUUUCAUGUAGCUUACCACAGUUGUAUCUAGGAAUAUAUCACAUAGCUGAUUAAUUGGUGAAAUAACCCUUGCAAUUUUACACAGGUUGUACAGUGCACAUUUUCAAGGACCACUCACAUACAUCCAUUUGAUAUUUUUUGGUAUCAAGAAAGUCUUUAAACAAUCAGUACCACCAAUAGCAGUAAAAAGACAAAACUGUCUGAAAGUACCUAUCUGUUUAAAACUUUAAUUAGCUUUAUCCAUCCAUUAAAUAGUUAUUGAAUAUAAAACUGUAUCAUUCACUCUUCUACACUCUGAGGAAAUAGUGGUAAAUAAAGCAGAUAUUGUCCCUACUAUCAGGAAAUUUACAUUUUAGUAGUAAUAAGCCAUAAAUUAACAAAAACAGAAGACAGUGGUAAGUACUAGGCAUGAAAUUCAAACAUGACUAUUUUAGAUUAGGUGAUUAAAGAAACUAAAAUACCAUUUAAGCUGCUGUGUAAAUGACAAGAGAAUCCAGCUUUGUAAAAAUUGGUGAACCCUUUGCUUGCAGAAGGGACAACUGCAAAAUCUAAGGCAUGAUCUAGCCUGGAAUAUUUCAGGAGCCAAAAGAAGGCCUGCAUGGUUAGAGAAUAGUGACUUAAGACGCAAAUACUGUAACUUUGGAGGGAUAGGAAAGGGCUAGAUCAUGUUACCUUUGAAAGACAGGAAAGAGUUUAGAUUUUAUUCUAUGUGCAAUGGAAAAAAAAAUGAGAGCAUUUUAAUCCAAAGAGUAAUAUAAGAUAAUAUAUUUUUAAAAUCCACUUUGGUAAUUUGUUAAUUGGCAUAAAGAGUCAGCUUUCAUGUAACAUAAUUACUAACAUACUUGGAUUUAAAUUUGUCAUUAUUCUUAUUUUAUUUGUCCCACCUCUUAUAUGUUCAUUUUGUCUUCUUUUGCCUUUUUGAUUUUUUUUUUUCUUAAUUAGGCCAUAGCACCUGAUAUUCCCAGGCAGACUCUCAUCCAAGUGCCAAUCAGCCCCAGCCCUGCUUAGCUUCCCAGAUCAGAUGAGAACAGGCAUAUUCAGGGUGGUAUGGCUAUAGACCUUUUAGAUUAUUUUUAAUUAUUCCAUUUUUUCUACCUCAUAAGCUUGACAGAUGUCUUUUAGUAUCUUUUUACUGUUCACCUCAGGUAUUAAAACAUGGAACCUUGGUUUAUCAUCUUUAAGAUAAUUUGGUAUUAUACUUCUUCCAGGACAAUGUAAGGACCUGCGAACACAUCAACUUCAUUUACUGCCACACCUCAUGUUAUAUACAUUGUAUAUUCUUAAUAUGUAUUUCCUAAAUUCUCAAGACAUUUUUUAUACAAUAUGAAUUUACAUUUCAUAUUGUAUAAAACAUUUACUUUUUCUAUUGUGUUUCGUGGUUCCUGGAAUCUGAGCUUCCAUCUAAGACCUUAUUUCUUCUUGAAGGACAUACUUUAAUAUUUCUUCGAAUAUCUACUGGUAACAAUUCAUUCAGAUUUUCUGUCCUGACACUGUCUUAUUUUACUUUCAUUUUCUAAGAACGUUUUUGCUGAAUUAGCAGCUAUUUUAUCAUUUUGAAGAUAUAUUUUAUUCCUUCUGGCUUCCAUUAUGUCCUCUAAGACAUAAUGUCCAUUUUGUUUUUUUCUCUUCAAAGGUAAUCUUUUUUUGGAUGGCUACUUUUAAGAGGUUUGUCUUAAGUUUGGUGUGCCCACAUGUGUUUUGUGUUUGUUUUUUUGUGUGUGUGGUUUUUUUCUGCUUCGAGAUUGAUAAUGUUUCUUGAAUCUGGCUGUGAUGUCCUUAGGCUGUUUGAGAAAAUUCUUAGCUCUGUUUGAUCAGACAUUGCUUCUGCUUUCACUCUCCUUUCUCCUCUUCUUUUGAUACUCCACUUACAUUUGUAUUUGACAAUUCACUUUGUCCCUUGUAUUUUCCAUUUAUUUUCUUGUCUGUUUCAUCCUGAAUAUUUCUUCUUAACUUUCAGUUCACUAUUUUCUCUUAGUAGUCUCGAAUUUGUUAAAUCUCUCUUGAAGCAUUUAUUUUAGUUAUAUUUUUGGUUAUCAGUUCAAACAUUUCUACUUGAUUCUGUUUUAUUGUUUCCAGUUGUUUAUCCAAUAUCUCAAUCUUUUAUUUCCUCAAACAUACUAAUCAUAAUUACUUUAAAACCUGUAUCUAAUAACUAUGGUGUCUGCUAUUAUCUGACACUUUUCUUGUUUCUUGCUGUUAUCACAUUGUCUUGCUUUUAUGUCCCUUAUUUUUAUGUUAUUUUGUAUUAUUUAUUUUAUAAACAUUAUAAAUAUAUAAAACUUGGCUUAGGUUAUGUUUUAAUUGAAUGUCAGAAUUGUUUUGAUUGAACUGUAUAUGAGGAAACUAUACUUUGAAGUCCAAUAUGAUGGUAUUUUCUAAAGAAAGAAUUUAUGUCUCCUGGCAAGACCUUUGGACACUAGUAAUCUAAGAUCUUCUUAAUCUGGUUAGUGAUAGAGACAAUUAGAAUAUAGGCAGGUCUAUUUCCUGUUCAUACUUUCACAAUGUAGACCUCUGAAGUCCCAACUCAAGCAUGCAGAGUUUACCAGAUCAGGCCCUAAACUUCAGUUUUUGUCUUUUUAAUUCUAUGGGUUAGAAACUCUGUUCAACUUUUCAGCCAUCACCUCAGGAAUCAGAAGAUACUCCAGAGGAAAAGCUAAUGUAAAUGCUGGAUUCAACAACUCUGUUUUUUCCUUCUGAAUAUUUCAUUGUCUCUAAUGCUGUCAGAUGUUUGUUUUAUAUUUUGUCCAAGCUGAGUGUGGUGGCUCACGUCUGUAAUUUCAGCACCUUGGGAGGCCAAGGCGGGACCAUCCCUUGAGGCCAGGAAUUUGAGACUAGCCUAGGCAACAUAACAAGACCUUUGUCUCUUGGAAAAAAAUAAAUAAAUAAAUAUUAUUAGAAGUGAAAAUGGGGAUGUUGUUACAAAUGCUGUGGAGAUUGAUGAGAAAUUAUGAACAACUUAAUAAUAAAUGGGAAAAUAUAAAUGAAGUAGGCAGUUCCAGAAAAUGUAACUUUUCAAAAGCCAUGUAAUGGAAAAUAUAAAUGGUGGGAUGUUGAUGUAAGAAAUCAUGAUGCCCAGAGACUUUUGCCAAACCUUCAAAGGACAGAUCAUUACAAUUUUACACAAACCAUUCCACAGUAUAUUCCACUUAUAUACUGUGGAAUUGGCCCUUACUGCCCUUAUCAAAUUUAACAUCAAGGUUACAGAAGCUUAAUAUUACUGCCCUGAUUUUAUUAGGGCAGUAAUGAUUUGAUAAGGGCAGUAAGAAUUACAGCCCUGUCAUAUUCGCAAAGACAAAAAUCCUAAAUAAAACAGACCUUAGAAAAUGUGUUUUUAAGAAAAGAUAAUAAAACAUGAUCAGGUUGAAUUUAACCCAGGAAUGUAUUUUAGUAUAUUAAGAGAUUAGAAAAACUAUCUGGCUAUCUGAACAGAUGCAGGAAAAGAAAACUAUUUGAAAAAAUUAACAGACAUAGAUAAACCUUUGGGCAAAUUAGAAUUGUGUAGAACUUCCUUGAGCCAAUAAAACCUACAACAACAAUAUUUUAAGAUGAAGUAUUUGAAGCAGUCCAUUAGAAUCAGGAACAAGUACUAUGUUGGAGAUCCUAGCCAGCAUUAUAAGGCAAGAAAAACAAAAGAUUAAAAAUUGUAAAUAAACAUAACUUAGUCUACAGAUAAAUUAUUGAAGAGCUUUGCAAGGAUUCUGAAUAUACUAUUGAUAUGGUUUGGAUCUGUGUCCCUACCCAAAUCUCAUGUUGAAUUGUAAUCCCCAAUGUUGGAGGUGAGGCCUGGUGGGAGAUUGGAUCACGGGAAUGGGUUUCUCAUUCGUGGUUUAGUACCAUCCUCUUGGUACUGUCCUUGAAAUAGUUCUUAGGAGAUCUGGUAAUUUAGAAUUGUGUGGUACCUCUCCCCUCUCUCUUGCUCUUGCUCCCCCUUUGCCUUCCACCAUGAUUGGAAGCUUCCUGAAGCUGCCUCAGAAGCAGAAGCCACUAUGCUUCCUGUACAGCUUGCAGAACCAUGAGCCAAUUAAACCCCUUUUCUUUAUAAAUUACUCAGUCUCCAGUAUUUAUAGCAAUGUGAAAACAGAUAAUAUGACUAUCAAUAUACAAAAGUGAAUUGCAUUUCUUUCCAGCAGAAAUGAACUGUUAGAAAAUGAUUUUUGUAACAUACCAUUUACUAUAUUCCUUUAAAAAUAUAAAUUAGGUAACUUAACAAAAGGUAUAGAAGACCUCUGUAGAAAAUUACAAAACUUUAUUGACAGGCAUUUAAAAAUGUCUAAUUUUAAAAUUGCCAUGUUCAAUGAUUAAAAGACUCGAGUUAAGAUGGCAGUUCUCCACUACACAAUGAAGGUAAUUGCAAUACAAAUCCCAAAUGAGUUUUUCAAGGAGCUUGACAAACUGAUUCUAAAGUCUGUAUGACAAAAAGCAGAAUUCAGGAUACUCCAGAAGCAGAUUUAAGAUAGAAUUGACUUGUAGAUAUUCGUAACAGCAAAAAAAUAAAAACAACUCAAAUAUCCAUCAAAAGAUAAAAUGUUUAUCCAUGAAAAGAUACUCAAAAAGUGACACCUUUAUAUAAUGGGAUAUAUUUGGCUGCAAAAAGGAAUGAACUGCUAAUACCUGCUAUAAUGUGGAUAAACCUUGAAAGCCUGCUGAAAUAAAGAAGCCAGUCACAAAGGACCACUUAUGAUUCCAUUUAAACAAAGUGUAUAAAGUAGAAAAUGUAUUGAGACAAUAGAUUGUGGUUGUUUAGGGCUUACAAAGUUUGGGGUGAUGGGGGCCCGAGGUAGUGACAGCUAAAGGGUGCAGUUUCUUUUUGAGGCAAUAAAGUUCUAAAAUGUAUAGUUGCACGUUUCUGUAGAUACACUAAAAUCAAUUCAGUUGUGCAUUUAAAUGAGUAAAUUGGUAUGUGAAUUGUACCUCAAUAAAUCUGUUAAAACCAUAGUAAUUAGGAUAUUGUAAUACUGGCUUAGAGAUGGAAAAAUUGAUUUAUAAGGAAUCCUGAUUGUAAGGAAUCUUGACUUAUGUCAGAGAUGGCAUUGCAUACCAGCAGGGAAAGCUAGAUCAUUUCAAUAGAUGACGCUGCAUAUUCAUAUGGGGGAAAAAUGAAAUUGGUCCUCCCUACCUAACACCAUACAGAAAAAGUAGUUUCAGAUGACUUUAAGAUGUAAGUGUGAAAGGAAAACAUAGUAAACCUUCAAAAGAAAGAUUGCAAAAUAUUUUUAUGAUCUUAUGGUAGGGAAAUGUAAUAUGUAUAAAGGAAAACAUGUAUGUCCAAUAUGUUAAAGUUAAAAACCUCUGUUCAAGACUCCAUAAACCCUCAGAAUAGCGGUUAAUUUCAGUCAUGCCCAGGAAACAUACAAGAUGAGCCUGGAAUACCUUGUGCAAGAUAGCAAGGAAGCUAUUAGAGACUACGAGGGUGUCAUAUCAAAUGGACUCAGGAGACAACUGAAAAGCAUCCUUCUGGCCAUAGAUGAGACCAUUUGAGUGUCAAUAAGGACAGUAAAUGCAAUUGAUUGGAACAUAUCAAGUGUCUUUAAAUCUGAGUACAUAAUGAUUGUAAAACAAACAGCAUUUAGUUGGUCAACAGUAGAAGAUGCUGUUGCAUCAAUUCAUUAUUUUGAAAAUCAGUUUUGUUUUGUUUUUAAAGUAAUUAGGCAUUUGUCCUGCCUUUUGUAUGUGAACUGUAAGUAACCACAUAGUAGAUGAGGAGAGGGUUCUCUUUGUACAUGUAUUCUAGCUAAUAAAUGGAGGAAUGAUAGAAAAUUGCCAUUUUGAAAUUCCUAAUGAACAAAUGGAUUUAUUUAUUGCAUUUCAACAGCUGCUAACAUGACAGACAAGAAAACAUAUGUUUCUUAAUGGAAAAACACCACUACUGAUGUUAAAAUCUUAUCAAAAAUUUGACCCUGAUACUAAUCAGGUCUUUAGAUCCAUCCAAUUUGCAGAAAAUAUAAACACCAUUAAAACUUUAAGCCAAUGAAACCUACCACAACGUAAUAUUUUGGAAUGGAAAAUAUAAAUGAAAAAUCCAAUUUUGGAGAAUAUUGGGACAAAUUAAUUUCAACAAAUAUGUUGCAGGAGAAAAGGAGACGAGAAGGACAAGUGGAGAAAACCGUAGAUUACAAGAGACUUAGUUCAAUAUGAAGCAACCUGUGAACUUGGAUUAGUUAUCUUACUGUAUAACAAAUCACCCUAGCUUAAAUCUAAAAAUAUUUAUACACUUUCUUAGGAUCCACAGGUGGUUUAGCUAGAUGUUCUGGCCCAAGGUCUCAUGAAUUUGCAGUCAAGAUGUUGGCUGGGCUGUAGUCUGAAAGUUUGACUGGUGUUAGAGGAUCCACUUCCUAGAGGGCUCAUUCGUAGAGCUGCCUGUGUUUUCUCACAACAUGGCAACUGGCUUUCUCUAGAACAGGUGAUCCAAGAGAGAGACAGAAACCAUGAUCAUUCAGAGUGAUGUAACAUUACUUCUACUAUAUAAUGUUAGUCACACAGACAUUUCCCUGACAAUAUGUGGGAGGAGAUUACACAAGAGCAUGAAUACUGGGAAGCUAGCUGUCACAAUUUGGCCCCAAUGAUUGAUAGUUCUUGAUUUGCAAAAUAUAUUCAUCCCCUCCAAAAGCUCUCCAAAGCUCUCAUCCUAUGACACCAUUAGUUCAAGGUCUAGAAAUCUAAAUCAGUUCCAAUUGUGGAUGACACUCAUAGGUGUACUUAAGUACAGCUCCUCAAGAAGAGUUCUUUUUGAUCUGAAGACUCAUACACUAAAGACACAGUCUCUGCUUCCACAUGUAAUAGAAAAUGAAUAGGAUAAUAAAUGUGGACAUGUAUAUUUAAAAAGAGGGAAUAUUGGAGGUACAUAGGUUCACAGAAAUUCUGAAACCCACCUGGGCACAGAUUGGCAGUUGCUUGGUCAAGUUUCAAGGCCUAGAAUUCUCUUAGCUCUGCCUUCUGGGAUCUUGGAUCUACUCACUGAGUCACCCUUUCUUUUUCUUGUUUACACUUCUGCCUGCUUUCUGCCUAUAGAAGCUUGGAUGUCCCACAAGCUUCUUUCCAUUUGGUUCUCUCUGUGCCUUUCAGUCCAGGCUGGCCAUGUUUCUGCUAAUAGACUUCUCUUAAAAACUUUGUGGCUCACUUGUGAAUUUUGAGUUCACUCCAUCAGACAAAAGCAACAACCACACAUCUCGUCCCACAUAAACUCUGCCUCAAGCUUUUGCUGAUGAAAAUACCCUUAAACUUUUUAAAAACCUGUGAUGUUAUUCAGAGAUUUUCUGAGACACAUCGUUUGUCUGAUGAAAAUACUCUGAGGCACAACUUAAGAUCUUUCUGAGCUAUUAAAGGACUUUAUAACUACAGCCUCAACUUUAUGUUUUACUGGCAGUGCCCUAGAUUUGCUUUUUGCUCAGAGAUAUUCCCCAAUUUUAGCACAUUUGUCAUCUGCACAGGCUGGGAAUCUUCAAAUCCAGCAAGUUUUGACUUGUUUUUGUUUGUUUGUUUGUAAUAGAGUCUGUUUUUUGCUGUGUUGGCCAGGUGAUCUUGGACUCCUGGCUUCAAGCAUUCCUCCCACCUCAGCCUCCCAAAGUUCUGGGAUUUUAGGUAUAAGCCACCAUGCCCAGCCAUGGCUCCUUUUUGUUUAACAGUCCUUACUUUGAUGGUCUCUCUUCUCACACAUUUUACUAUCAGCAACAAGAAAAAAUACACAUGAAAUAUUUAACACUUGGCCGGCAAUCUCCUUUGCUAGAUCAAUGAGUUAAUUAGGCAUUUUUUCUACUUUGUACAUAUCUGUGGAUAACAAAUUUGCUAAACUUUCUGCCAUUAUGUAACAAGGAUCUCCUUCCCUCUAGUUUCCAAGAAGAGUUUUCUAAUCUGUUAAGAUGUCACCUGCAGCCUCCUCAAAGGUUAUCUAUUAUGCUUCUAUAAAAAAUUUCUUCAAAGCUCUUCAAACUUUCAUUAACACUCUCCUCCAAGUUCUACCUUCUGUUCACUGCCAGUUUUAAAACCACACUUACAUUUUAGGUUUUUGCUAACACCCCACUUCUGAGUACCAAAAUGUAUACUGAUUUUCUAUUGCUGCAUAAUAAACUGCCCCAAAAUACAACAUGCAAAGCAAUAAAUAUUCAUUAUCUCAUGUAGUGUCUGAAGGUCAAAAAUCCGGAAGCAGCAUAGCUGAGUGGUUCUGAUUCAUUGUCUCUUGUGAAGUUAUCAGUCAAACCAUCAGCUGAGACUGUAAUCAUCUGAUGUUUUAACUAGUACCAGAGGAUACACUUUCACAUGCUAUUGGCAGGACACUUUAGUUCUUCACUAGCUGUUUAGCAGAAUACCGCACUUCCUCACCACAUGUACCUCUUCAUAGAGCUUCCUGGCUUCCUCUAAAACAAGUAAUCCAAGAGAGAAGCAGAAGCCACCAUGGUUUUUUAUGCCGUUGUUGACCUAGCCCCCAAAGUGACAUAUUAUUACACAGAUAUGUAGCCAACCUGUGGGUCACUGAUACGGUUUGGAUGUGUGUCCCCUCCAAAUCUCAUGUUGAAAUGUGAUUCUCAGUGUUGGAAGUGGGGCUGGUGAUAGGUGUUUGGUUCAUGAGGGUAGAUCCCUUAUGAAUGGCUUGGUGCUGUCUUUGUGGCAAUAAGUGAGUUCUCACUAUCUGAGUUCACACAAGAGCUGGUUGUUUAAAAGAGCCUGUCAUCUCUUUUGCUCCCUUUCUCACCAUGUGAUAUGCUGCUCCCCUUCUCUUCUGCCAUGAAGAAAAGCUUCCUGAGGCCUUCACCAGAAGCAGAUGCUGGUGCCGUGCUUCUACAGCCUGCAGAACUGUGAGCCAAAUAAAGUUCUUUCCUUUAUAAAUUACCCAGCGUCAGGUAUUGUUUUAUAGCAAUGCAGAACAGACUAACACAGACACACACACCAACCAAGUACAGUAUGAGAAGGGAUUAUUGGGUGCCAUUUUGGAGGUUGUCUACCACAGGAUUUUAUCUGUAUCAUUAUUCAAAUUUCGUUUUUGAAAAAUUUUGUAAGGGCACAUUUAUAGAAAUAUGAAUGCUUAAUAUUUGAUGAUAUUAGGGAAUUAAACCAUUUUUGUGUGAUAGUAAUUUUUAAAGAUUCCUUAUCUUUUAGAAAUACAUAUUGAAAUAUUUAGAGAUGUAGUGAUAUAAUGUCUGGGGUAUGCUUCAAGAUAAGAGUUGCAGAAAGUGGGUGGUAGUAUAAAUCAAGAUUGGUUAUGAGUUGAGAAUUUUUGAGUAAUAGGUAUAUGGGGACUAAGUAUUCUAUUCUUCAUACUUUUACAUGCCGUAAAUCCCCACUUAUCUGCAGGGAAUGUGUUCCAAGACCCCCAGUGGAUGCCUGAAACUGAGAAUAGUACUGGACCCUGUAUAUACUGUGUUUUUUCUUUCCUUAUUGAGAACUUUUAUGUUUUCACUUAAAGGAAGGACUUUACAGCUUCUCUUUCGCAUAUCCAAAUUGCCAGCAUCACCGCUCUUGCACUCCAAGCCAUUAUUAAGUAAAGUAAAGAACACAAACACUGUGAUACUGCUACACUUGAUCUGAUAACCAAGAAGUCUACUAAGUGACUAACAGCAGAGCAACUGGGAACCUAAUUCUGACCAAAAAGGAGGAAUUGUUUGGCUAAUUGGAAGUGACAGAAACCUUGGGAGAAAGCAACCGCAUACCAAGGAUAAUUAUAAGAAGAAGAGAAGACAUGGAGAAGAGGAGGGAGUAGUUGUGACCGUGGAGGCAGAGAAUGGAGUAAUGUGAUCAUAAAUCAAGGAAUGCUGACAGCCACUAAAGCUGGAGAAGGCCAAGGACAGAUAUUCAAUCCUCCCGUAGAAGUACAGCCCUGCUAAUGCAUUGAUUUUGGACUUCUGGCCUCAGAACUGUAAGAGAAUAAAUUUCUAUUGUUUUAAGCCUUCAGUUUGUGGUAGUUUGUUACAGAAACCCUGUAAAGUUAAUACACAGAGUUCAAAGAGAAUCCGGUAAUAUCUCUAAAAGACUCGUGUAUUAGUCAGGAUUCUCCAGAGAAGCAAAGCCAAUAGAAUGAUACAUGUUGUUAAAGCAAAUUAAAAUGGAGACCAUGCCUGAAGAAUCUCUGUGCAGAGAAACCCAGUUAGGCCUCAUAAGUUAACCUUACUUGAUUUGCAAACAUAAUCUAAAAGUUAACUGGAGCUAUUUCCGGUAAAUGAAUAUAACACAACUUAAGCUCAAUCAGUCAGAAGCAGCUUUAUAAUUAUGUAGCUAGGGACUUUCCAAGAGGAUGACCAAAGAAGGAAAUGAUAUAACUAUAACCAAAUAAAUAUUUUCUUUGCUUUCCUGUUCCUCCUAUAAAAGCCUCCCCACUGCUGAGCUGUGCUCAGCAGAGCUCCGAAACAACUUCUGGUUUAGAGUUGCCCGAUUUGUGAAUCACUGUUUGCUCAAAUAAACUCUUUAAAAUUUUAUUGUAUCUCAGGUUAUCUUUUUUAGAUAGAUAGAUGAUAUAUGAUAGAUAGAUAGAUAGAUAGAUAGAUAGAUAGAUAGAUAGAUAAUAGAUAGAUAGAUAGAUUAUUUAUUAUGGGAAUUGGCUCAAUCACAGAGACCCAAGAUCUGCCGUCUGCAAACUGGAGAACCAGGAAAGCCAGUGGUGUAAUCAAGUUCAAAGGGCUGAGAACCAGGAGAAUCAAUAACUUAAUACCCAAUGUAAUAAGGCCUGAGAAUGUGGGGUAGGGAUGCUAGUAUAAGUCCUAGAGUCUGACUACUGCAGAACCAGGAGUUCUGAUGUCCAAGGGUAGGAGAAGAUGGAGGUCCUAAAUCAAGAAUAAAGCAAAUUCACCUUUUCUUUGCCCUUUUUGUUCUAUUUGGGCAGGCCUCCAGUGAAUUGGAUGAUGCCCACCCACACUGGUAGAGCAGAUCUUUAGUCAGUCUUGAUUCAAAUGCUAAUUUCUUCACAGAGGCACACAGAAAUACUGUUUUAUCAUCUAUCUGGAUAGCCCUUAACACAGCCAAGUUGACACAUAAAAUUAACCAUCACAAUUAGGUUUUCCUGGGUUGGAAGGAAUGGGAGAUAAUGAAACGGGUGCUGGAGGGUAGAGGAGGUCUGAGGGACUUCUUGGCGGGACUAUGUGAACCAGAAUGGAAUGAGCAAAUUACAGACCCCACAGUCUCUGCUCUGACAGAGAUUGCCAGAGUUUGAAAUAGACCUGAUAGGGUUACUACAGGUUACCAGAACCGGGAAGUCAUGUGGCAGCCAAGCUAAUAUCCAAAGAUCACCCAAAGAGUAUUUCAUGUGAUCAGGAAGAGUCUCUGUUUAAUUGACAACUGCUUCCCACUUCCCAUCCCCUUCACGUGUAGCAGGAGUCACAGCUGU